CUCCUCUGGUUGUCUCUCUCCAGCAUCACGACUCCGUCCCUUCAUGCUCGUAUCUGGAGCUCGCUCGGCCUACAGCUCGCUUGUACCCGGCCGCCGUGUUGUUCCUGUUCGUCUUCAGCGCCUGCCGAGCACCGCCGCUUGGCCAUGGCGCACGGCCAUCCCGUCUGGACCUCCUCCAGCUCCUCCAUCCCCUGUUCCUUGGCGCUCGCCGAGGGCCUCUCCUUCAUCUUCUGUCGCGUCUCAACUCCCAUGGCCGCCUCUAUGCACGAGCUCGCCGGACGCCGCAGCAUAUACUCCCUGCUCGGCCUCCCCGGCGUGCUGCUCCCUCGCCUUGGCGCCCCUGCGAGUUCCUUCUCCCUCGCUCGGUUUCUAACUCGGGCCUCACCGGAUGCCGACACUGCUUCUCUGACCUCGCCUCGACACUCAAUCACUGCAGCACGCCAUGCUGUGUGUGCUACACUAUCAUCGCUCGCUUUCCUCGUCCUCGCCAAUUUUCUUCGUCGUUUCUCGGCUACAACCUCGUCAGCUCCUGUGAGUCG
Molecule: unclassified non-coding RNA, 539 nt
Filed under: Zea mays
Lineage: Eukaryota; Viridiplantae; Streptophyta; Magnoliopsida; Poales; Poaceae
Description: misc RNA Zm00001eb085970
Source: RNAcentral